UUUUUCAACGCAGUUCUCCGGGAACAAUUCAUUUGCUCGCGUUCAGCUGAAGGUAGAACAAAAUUAUUUUUUCCUUGUCAGACCAGCGGUCCGUUUUGUUGUGUGCGCGCAUAGCGACAUAGUCUAGCAUAUCACGAGCCAGAAGCAGUGUUGCAGUAGGUCGUGAUAUACAAGAACGGAGAGGAAGGCAGAGUCCUGAUCGGCCUUAACCGUGCCAUGUGGUGAAGUUCUGCUUAAAGAGUGCAGAGCUAUCCUUCUAGCCUUGGACGAAGCCAACGCACAGCGGCGGUCGUCCUGUGUCCCGCUUUCGGCAAAUACCACUGAGUCACACAUCAGUUGGAACUGAUGAUCGCUUGAUUUCAUGGGAUCGCACCAUGUCGCCAGUGCAGCGCACCACGUUCACUGUGUCGUCGAAGAACUCUUCUUCUUCUAACUGAAAGGUAUCUGGAGCUA
This is a long non-coding RNA of Ornithodoros turicata, 453 nucleotides long. RefSeq lists it as uncharacterized. NCBI's taxonomy places the organism in Eukaryota, Metazoa, Arthropoda, Arachnida, Ixodida, Argasidae. The transcript has 3 exons. The record is from RefSeq and is a predicted model, not a curated record.